GGUGCUAAAAGUGGUAUUUUUCAGACUCAUAAUCCGUUGGUCCUAGGUUCGAGUCCUAGUGGGCCCACCA
RNAcentral lists this transfer RNA (70 nucleotides) under Legionella israelensis. RNAcentral describes it as "tRNA-Ser". Lineage: Bacteria; Pseudomonadati; Pseudomonadota; Gammaproteobacteria; Legionellales; Legionellaceae. The record is from RNAcentral.